AUGGCGGGGGCGGCACCGCAAGCGCCACGAGCAUGGCGCGGCGAGGCCUGGCACAGGAAGGACUUGCGGGAGAUGAUGAGGAGCCGCGGCUUGCCGAGGCUGGCGGCCCCGUCGUGGAACGCCACCACGCGGUCCAGGCGGAAGGCGCGUUGGAGCAGGCGCUUGAAGUCGGCCACGGUCUUGCCGCCCGGGGAGUGCGUGCCGUCGAUGCCCAUGGGCCGGUGGAAGGUGGAGCCGAUGACGAUGCGCGAGAAGCAGUGCACCUCCUGGUCGUUGUCCACGUCGAUGACGUCGUAG
This 297-nucleotide ribosomal RNA is filed under the name Triticum aestivum (bread wheat). RNAcentral describes it as "partial small subunit ribosomal RNA". Lineage: Eukaryota; Viridiplantae; Streptophyta; Magnoliopsida; Poales; Poaceae. The record is from RNAcentral.